AGACCCGAAACCCGGUGAUCUAGCCAUGGGCAGGUUGAAGGUUGGGUAACACUAACUGGAGGACCGAACCGACUAAUGUUGAAAAAUUAGCGGAUGACCUGUGGCUGGGGGUGAAAGGCCAAUCAAACCGGGAGAUAGCUGGUUCUCCCCGAAAGCUAUUUAGGUAGCGCCUCGUGAAUUCAUCUCCGGGGGUAGAGCACUGUUUCGGCUAGGGGGCCAUCCCGGCUUACCAACCCGAUGCAAACUGCGAAUACCGGAGAAUGUUAUCACGGGAGACACACGGCGGGUGCUAACGUCCGUCGUGAAGAGGGAAACAACCCAGACCGCCAGCUAAGGUCCCAAAGUCAUGGUUAAGUGGGAAACGAUGUGGGAAGGCCCAGACAGCCAGGAUGUUGGCUUAGAAGCAGCCAUCAUUUAAAGAAAGCGUAAUAGCUCACUGGUCGAGUCGGCCUGCGCGGAAGAUGUAACGGGGCUAAACCAUGCACCGAAGCUGCGGCAGCGAACGUAUCACCCAAGACAACUUUACGGAGUUGACGAUUGACGGAGCGAAGCGACGUCAAAGCGUUCAUUAAAGUCGAGUUGGCUUAGGGAUACGUUCGUUGGGUAGGGGAGCGUUCUGUAAGCCUGUGAAGGUGUGUCGUGAGGCAUGCUGGAGGUAUCAGAAGUGCGAAUGCUGACAUAAGUAACGAUAAAGCGGGUGAAAAGCCCGCUCGCCGGAAGACCAAGGGUUCCUGUCCAACGUUAAUCGGGGCAGGGUGAGUCGACCCCUAAGGCGAGGCCGAAAGGCGUAGUCGAUGGGAAACGGGUUAAUAUUCCCGUACUUGGUGUUACUGCGAAGGGGGGACGGAGAAGGCUAUGUUGGCCGGGCGACGGUUGUCCCGGUUUAAGCGUGUAGGUGUGUGUUCCAGGUAAAUCCGGUUCACUUUAACACUGAGGCGUGACGACGAGGCACUACGGUGCUGAAGCAACAAAUGCCCUGCUUCCAGGAAAAGCCUCUAAGCAUCAGGUAACAUCAAAUCGUACCCCAAACCGACACAGGUGGUCAGGUAGAGAAUACCAAGGCGCUUGAGAGAACUCGGGUGAAGGAACUAGGCAAAAUGGUGCCGUAACUUCGGGAGAAGGCACGCUGACACGUAGGUG
Molecule: ribosomal RNA, 1140 nt
Filed under: Salmonella enterica
Lineage: Bacteria; Pseudomonadati; Pseudomonadota; Gammaproteobacteria; Enterobacterales; Enterobacteriaceae
Description: partial 23S ribosomal RNA
Rfam family: Bacterial large subunit ribosomal RNA
Source: RNAcentral